GAUGAACGCUGGCGGCGUGCUUAACACACGCAAGUCGAACGGUGAACACGGAGCUUGCUCUGUGGGAUCAGUGGCGAACGGGUGAGUAACACGUGAGCAACCUGCCCCUGACUCUGGGAUAAGCGCUGGAAACGGCGUCUAAUACUGGAUAUGUGACGUGACCGCAUGGUCUGCGUUUGGAAAGAUUUUUCGGUUGGGGAUGGGCUCGCGGCCUAUCAGCUUGUUGGUGAGGUAAUGGCUCACCAAGGCGUCGACGGGUAGCCGGCCUGAGAGGGUGACCGGCCACACUGGGACUGAGACACGGCCCAGACUCCUACGGGAGGCAGCAGUGGGGAAUAUUGCACAAUGGGCGCAAGCCUGAUGCAGCAACACCGCGUGAGGGAUGACGGCCUUCGGGUUGUAAACCUCUUUUAGCAGGGAAGAAGCGAAAGUGACGGUACCUGCAGAAAAAGCGCCGGCUAACUACGUG
RNAcentral lists this ribosomal RNA (469 nucleotides) under uncultured bacterium. RNAcentral's name for it is "partial 16S ribosomal RNA". It matches the Rfam family "Bacterial small subunit ribosomal RNA", at positions 28 to 507 of the family's 1533-position model. The record is from RNAcentral.